AACCCAUGGUAAGGGAGCCUUCUUAAUAGGUCCUUGUAUCUCUCCCAUCCGUCAUAAAGAGUUUCUAAAUCCAUCUGCACAAAAGAAGAGAUAUCAUUUCUUAGUUU
This is a non-coding RNA of Gossypium hirsutum (cotton), 107 nucleotides long. Lineage: Eukaryota; Viridiplantae; Streptophyta; Magnoliopsida; Malvales; Malvaceae. The record is from Rfam.